Molecule: ribosomal RNA, 446 nt
Filed under: uncultured bacterium
Lineage: Bacteria
Description: bacterial SSU rRNA
Rfam family: Bacterial small subunit ribosomal RNA
Source: RNAcentral
UCCAGACUCCUACGGGAGGCAGCAGUGGGGAAUAUUGCACAAUGGGGGAAACCCUGAUGCAGCGACGCCGCGUGAGUGAAGAAGUAUUUCGGUAUGUAAAGCUCUAUCAGCAGGGAAGAAAAUGACGGUACCUGACUAAGAAGCCCCGGCUAACUACGUGCCAGCAGCCGCGGUAAUACGUAGGGGGCAAGCGUUAUCCGGAUUUACUGGGUGUAAGGGGAGCGUAGGUGGCAUGGUAAGCCAGAAGUGAAAACCCGGGGCUCAACCCCGCGGAUUGCUUUUGGAACUAUCAGGCUGGAGUGCUGGAGGGGUAAGCGGAAUUCCUAGUGUAGCGGUGAAAUGCGUAGAUAUUAGGAGGAACACCAGUGGCGAAGGCGGCCUACUGGACGGUGACUGACGCUGAGGCUCGAAAGCGUGGGGAGCAAACAGGAUUAGAUACCCUAGUG